GGCGCCAUCGUCUAGCGGUUAGGACGUUGCCUUCUCAAGGCGAAAACCGGGGUUCGAUUCCCCGUGGCGCUA
Non-coding RNA from Candidatus Peregrinibacteria bacterium, 72 nucleotides. NCBI's taxonomy places the organism in Bacteria, Candidatus Peregrinibacteriota. The record is from Rfam.